AUGGUUGAAACAACAAAACAUAGAACUUUUCAAUUGGUAUAUUACCUCAUCGAGUUGACAUUGAUUCUUCCAGUGGCAACUACAAAGGUCAAGCGAAUAUUUUCAGCAAUGACGAUCAUCGAAACAGAUUUACGCAAUAAGAUAUCGGAUGAUUGGCUCAAUGAUUUAAUCGUGUGCUAAUGUGAGAAAAUGAUAUUAAAAAAUAUUCCAAAUGAGCAAAUUAUGGUACGAUUCUAGAAAAAGAAAGAUCGCAAAGGACAUUUGCCUCGUGAGUAA
Molecule: ribosomal RNA, 276 nt
Filed under: Triticum aestivum (bread wheat)
Lineage: Eukaryota; Viridiplantae; Streptophyta; Magnoliopsida; Poales; Poaceae
Description: partial small subunit ribosomal RNA
Source: RNAcentral